CUACGGGGGGCAGCAGUGGGGAAUAUUGGACAAUGGGCGAAAGCCUGAUCCAGCCAUGCCGCGUGUGUGAAGAAGGCCUUCGGGUUGUAAAGCACUUUCAGUGGGGAAGAAAGCCUUGGGGCUAAUACCCUCGAGGAAGGACAUCACCCACAGAAGAAGCACCGGCUAACUCCGUGCCAGCAGCCGCGGUAAUACGGAGGGUGCGAGCGUUAAUCGGAAUUACUGGGCGUAAAGCGCGCGUAGGCGGUCUGAUAAGCCGGUUGUGAAAGCCCCGGGCUCAACCUGGGAACGGCAUCCGGAACUGUCAGGCUAGAGUGCAGGAGAGGAAGGUAGAAUUCCCGGUGUAGAGGGGAAAUGCGUAGAGAUCGGGAGGAAUACCAGUGGCGAAGGCGGCCUUCUGGACUGACACUGACGCUGAGGUGCGAAAGCGUGGGUAGCAAACAGGAUUAGAUACCCCUGUAGUC
This 464-nucleotide ribosomal RNA is filed under the name Vreelandella stevensii. RNAcentral's name for it is "partial 16S ribosomal RNA". It matches the Rfam family "Bacterial small subunit ribosomal RNA", at positions 339 to 795 of the family's 1533-position model. The record is from RNAcentral. Lineage: Bacteria; Pseudomonadati; Pseudomonadota; Gammaproteobacteria; Oceanospirillales; Halomonadaceae.